Megalopta genalis is the source of this 585-nucleotide non-coding RNA. The record is from RefSeq and is a predicted model, not a curated record. NCBI's taxonomy places the organism in Eukaryota, Metazoa, Arthropoda, Insecta, Hymenoptera, Halictidae.
CGUCUGCCGGGCGUUCAAGUCUCCGGACUGUCCUCCUUUUCGUUAUCCACUGCGAGCCCGUUUCCGGAAAAACGGAGACGCAGUGGAACCCGUUAACAUCUUUAAAAACAUAAGUAUAUUAUUUGCUACUAAUUACUAUCACUAAAAGACGAAAUAUUCAUGUAAUUCCCGUUUGUUGAAGAUCCAAAGUCUAUUAAUAAGAAUUCUCGAAUGAAUUCUUCAAUUAUAAGAAUUUAAUAUUUUUUUGAUAGAAGAAGAAUCAUUUUCGAGCGGCAACGUCUACGUCGUUUCUCCAGCCAAGUACACAAAGCCGCAGUUCACUGCAGAUCGAUCGAUCGACACCCUUCAUCUUGUCCAGCCUUGAAAAUCCAAAAUCCCGACCGAGCACCGACUGCCCUUUGUCUCGGGUGUCCACUUGGCUUAUGAAGACUAAGGUCAAGAACACACAGUAACUUCUGAUCCAGCAUUUAAAAAACUAAUAAACUGUCUCGAAAAGUUCAUUCAGUAUUCACAAAAUAUUCGGUAUUCAUUACAAAAUCAGAGGGAAGUUCGAGCAAAAUGACACUGAUAUACCUUGUAGAACCG